RNAcentral lists this ribosomal RNA (323 nucleotides) under uncultured Pseudomonadota bacterium. RNAcentral describes it as "bacterial SSU rRNA". It matches the Rfam family "Bacterial small subunit ribosomal RNA", at positions 30 to 351 of the family's 1533-position model. The record is from RNAcentral. Lineage: Bacteria; Pseudomonadati; Pseudomonadota.
AUUGAACGCUGGCGGAAUGCUUUACACAUGCAAGUCGAACGGCAGCACGGGUGCUUGCACCUGGUGGCGAGUGGCGAACGGGUGAGUAAUGCACCGGAACGUAUCCAAUAAUGGGGGAUAACGCACCGAAAGGUGUGCUAAUACCGCAUACGCCCUGAGGGGGAAAGCGGGGGAUCGUAAGACCUCGCGUUAAUGGAGCGGCCGAUGCCGGAUUAGGUAGUUGGUGAGGUAAAGGCUCACCAAGCCUUCGAUCUGUAGCUGGUCUGAGAGGACGACCAGCCACACUGGGACUGAGACACGGCCCAGACUCCUACGGGAGGCUG